AACCCUAAAGGGUUCCACGACUUUUCUGUGUCGCCUUUCUUUAUUCUCUCUCCUUCAUUUCAAUUUCUCUCUCGCCUCUCGCCCUUCGCCUCUUCGUCAAUCUUCUCUUCUCUAGCCGCCUCUCUUUCUUUUCUUCUCCUCUCUGUCAAUUUCUCAUCAUCAAGAAGGACCAGAUCGAUGGCCAAGUUCAGAUCGGUUGUUUCCAUCAAUUCUCUUCUCUGGGUCAUCGGGUUUCGUUUGAAAUUUGAGUAUGGUGCCAUGGUGGUUGAAGUCUGAGCACGACCUCCGCCACCACCGCAAGGACCAGAUCGAUUUAUUUUUCUGAGAUAUUGGGUAUGAUGAUGCAUGAAGACUCGUACUUGAUCUUCUGGGCAUGAGUUUUCAUGCAUGUUGAUGACUUUGAUUAUACUUCCAAAGCAUGUUGAUGACUCGAUGGUAAUAUCUAUUCUCUCUGAAUUUCAAAUCCAAUUAUGAUAUGUUGUGUAUCUAGGAACGAAAAAGUUAGAUCUGUUGUGAUUGCAUCUAUGAUUUACUAUAUCUUUUGUUUGGGUAUGUGCUGGUGGUUGAUCUUUAAUCAAAGAGCUUGGUUCUGGGUUCUGGCAGCGGUGGAAACAGCAAGAAGGAAGAUGAGGGGCAGGGUAACAAAGGCGGAACUGGUCGCCGGAGUUGCAUCUCAUUUUGAGCAGGGUGGCAUUCUUGUGCUGGAACCUCAACCAUGGAAGUCUUGUGAUAUAAAUCAUAAAGUUUCUGAGGCAAAAAGAACCAAUUCACUACUAGAAUUUUAUCCUUAGACAUCACGACAAUUACAUCGGUGAGGAAUUCACGCGAUGUAAAAAAAUGUCAUUAACAUCGAUUCCUCAAAUACCGAUUUCUAUGCAUAUUACUGACAUCGAUUUUUACUGUUGACCGAUGUCUAUAUUUUCAUUCUAAAAUUUUUUAAAAUGCGGAAAGACUAAGUUAAAAAUUUUCAGGAACGCGGGGAACAAAAUUUUCAUUCCCCACACUUGUUAUUUUUCCAACUCACUUUAUCUCUAACUUCACAAUUGAAAACUGGCAACCCAUUUUCUCUCUUGCUAUUCCCCGAACCCUAGCCCUCUCCUCCUUCCUCUCCCACUCUCUUUACACGGCCACCACUGCUUCCCUCUCCUCCGUUCACUCCCGCUACUAUCUCUCUCUUUCUCAUUGACCGCCUCCUCCAUGAGCAAGCUCUCUCUCUCUGUCUUGGAUCUCGGAAGACUGAAAGAAGGCAUAGAACCCUUCUCUCAAUCUCUCUCUCGAAUUGGGGAAAUCGAUUGCUUCUGUGAACCAAGACAACAUGCCAGAGGCGACCGGCACCGUUCUGUCAAAGAAAUCUUAGGCACUGGCGAAAAUCACUGAUUCAUAGUCGGUUCUCAAAAGGUAAAUCGAAAUGGUGGGGGUUUUCAAUUUUAGGGUUUUUGGUAAUCAAUCGAAAUUUGAAUUAUAGAUUUGGAGAUUUGGCGUGGUUAUUCGAGUGAGUAUCGGUCUGUUCGAGCGGAAUUGUACGUGCUGAAUUUCGAUUCAACUCAGAUGCUUUCUCUUCUCUGUUCUCGAAAAGUUUGCGUCUUGGGUCAGUUCCCAACCUCUUUUUGCUUGGUUUUUGUUUUUGGCUUCUUCAUUUUACUGUUAGAUUCAAUUUUAUGUUGAGGUUUUCAGUUAUGAUUUGCUAGAAAUUAUUUCUGAUUUAAUUCAUUGUGGACUGAAAGCUGUAGCCAUUGCUUGUGUGAGAUUUGCUUUCUUGCAUUUUGCUGUUAAUGCAAAGUGAAUUUUGUUAAUGCAAAUUAUCUGUGAUUCCGUAUGGUUUGCCUUUUUAUUUUUGAUGAAAGAUGGUGUUUGUGAAUAGGGAUAUGGUUUUACUUGAUCAGUGAUGUAGAGAGAAUAAACUCAUUUGGUGAAAUGCGCAAGCAAAUCACCAAUAAGGGUUCUGUGUGAAGUGGUCAGGCUCAUGGUUUGAGCCCCUUAAUCUAGGCUUAUUAAGGUGACUAAAAUGUGUGUUGUCUCAUUUGUUUAAAUGGAUAUGAAUAUGACCGCAUUGUCUACUUGGGAGUAAUUGGUUAUUUACUAUUCUUUUGGCAUUAGAGUCAACUGCUUUGGUUGUUUUGUUCAGUGAUUACUUCUCCUUAUCAUGGUUUACUUAUGAUUUGCUUUUAACAAAUAAUAGUAAUAAUAAUGGUAACAAAUGUAUGUAUGUCUUUACUGGCAAACAUUUAUGCACAUAUUAGCUGUGUAUGUCUUUGUGGAGGAUUGCUUCAGGACCUUAACAAGAUAGAAUUGCACGUUUCAGAGAAUUUCCCCAUGAAGGUAUUUUCUUAUAGGCAUGAAUUUGGGCUCUGUUGGUUUGUCAUAUAAUUGUAGAUGCUUUAUCAAUGUUCAGAUAUUGCUUCACUUUGCUACUAUUUGGUUGGUUCUGGGUAUUGCAAUGAAUUCAGAAUUCUUGGUUAGUUGCUUCUAUUAUACAGAUACAAGGAAUUAAUUAUCAUUGUUCGAUCGUUGUUUUUUGUGUGUGUGUAAAUGUUUGUUGAUUUUCAUUCUUUGGAUAUGUAUACAUGUAUUUGUGAGGGAUGCAAUAACCUAUGGACUACAAGUAACUUCAGUCCCUUGGCUGGGUGUUAAGAAGAUUCAAGUUGUAUAAUCUUGGUAUGAGUUGGUAAAUGCAGGUGAUGUCAAUCUGGUAUCACUUAUUAUCUUUUCUUCAUAUAUUUGAUUAUAUGUUGGUCACUGAAGAGUCAUGCAAUAUAUAUUUGAAGACUCCUGCCAUCAUUUUUGUCAAAAUGUACAACAUGCCUAUCAUGCUUUGAAUUAUGCCAAGCAAACCAUGACUUAAUAAUCAAUUAUAUAUGCUUGAAAGCUUAUCUUGUAGCACAUAUAAUCAAUUAUGUAUUUUGAAGGGCCAUGACUUGCAGCACGUUUUAAGAAGCCCUCACAUGAUUAAAGCUAUUUGUUCUUUGGCAAAGCAAUUGUUAAUUGAACCUUGUUGCUGCACUUUGUAUUUGUCUUCUAACUAAACUUGUUAGCACUCCAAAGGUUAAUUGAUUAAACAUGCCAUCUUUUUUGUCUGCUAGCUUGUGGUGUACAAAGCUUAAUUCUUUAUGUCUCUAGCAACUGCAAGAUUGAAUUAAUUAUAGUCGCCACCGUUUGAUUUUUGCAAGUUCCAGAUUGAGGCUUAAUUAACGUAGCCGUCAUUUGUUAUUAACCAUGUCUGGCAUUGCUGCAGCACAUCACCGCCUCAAAAUGGCUGAACAAAUUAAUUAAUCCUGUCACUUUUGAUUGUCAGCACCGCUUCACCACCGCACACUGCACUUGCUAACUGUUCUCUUACUUUAUUCGUGAACAUUAAUUUAGCCUUUUCAUUUCAGGCGUCAUUGUGUCUCCACCGCUGAGCCCUGCUGCCAAUCUUUCAGAGCUCUGCCUUCUGACUCUUCUUUUCUUUUUAUUGAAAAGGCUCCAAUGGCCUUGGUUCCUAAUUUCAUAGUUUCUAGAGUAAUUUUAGCUAGUAGAUGCAUAUAUUUUUUUUUUUUGGUGAACAAAGGGUGUAAAUGGUCAGCCGAAAGAGAAAAAUAACUAAUUGGUCUAGCCAAAAGAGAAAAAUAACUAACUAAUAAACUGGCCUUGAAAAAAAAAAAUCCAGUAUUAAAUAAUUUUUAUUAAAUAAAAAACCGAAUCUGGCCAUUCAAAAAAAAAAAAAAAAACCGAACUGGACCAUACCAAACCGAACCGGUCGGUUCAAUUUUCUGUUUCAACUUCAAAAAAACGCAAAACCGAAUCAAACUGAAGUCUAAGUUAGGUUCAGUUCUCAGUUUUUGUCCAAAACCGAACCGUUUGGAACCGAACCCACCCCCCGUGAGGGCAGGGGAGGUCGUCGCUUCUCAACAAUUGUGUCAGGGAUGGUAGUGGCUGGUUAGCCCAUCUCAAAGGACUCACCGUUCAAAUGGCAAGCAGGGCUGCAGAAUGGGGAGCACUAUUAGCUUCACGGGGAACCUAGUCCCAAUCAAAAUCUUCAAAGUAAGAACAUCGUCUUUUGAUUUGGUCAAUGAUCGGAAAUGUUUUCCAAUCCCUACAAGCUGCUGAACUCUUCAAAUAUGUGAUGACGUCUUUUGAAUCUGACUCAAACCUUACUUCUUUUAGAUUCAAAUUGAUUGCAAACCUAACUGUAGCAAGUAUGGCCUCAGAUUCAACCACAGAAACAGAGCUACAGACGGCCAGGGUUGCAAGAACACCUACUACAAACACAAUAUGGUCGCGAAUUGCAACACCCAAGCCAGCAGAGUUGGGGGCUGACCAAGCUGCAUUGUUGCUGACCUAAGAAAACGGUCAAUAUAUUGCAUUCGGGCAAUAUAGUCUUUUAAUAAUUCAAAUGUUAGUAGGGUGAACUAAGAAAAUGGUACAGUGACUGACAGGUUCAUAAUUUCAUACAUUUUUAUACCCUUAAAUGUAGGAUUCUAGGCUUAGUUCUUGUCAUUUUUGAGUCAUUUACUUUGUCUUUGUGUUUUGUAGGUUAAAUUGGAGAAACGAAGGAUUUCGAGCUUAAAGUCAAACGCAGGAUUGAAAGCGUGCUUGCUAUCCUGAGCUUCCAGAAUUUAGUCUGCUGAGCGUCAACUUUGAGGAUUAAACUGUACCUUCUCACAAGGAAUAAGCAGGCGAGCCAUAUACCAUUGGAAAGAUACGGAUGUUAGCUUUCUGAGGAAUUUUACGGAAGUGGAUUCGCAUUCUUGCAGAGCAAGCUAUGAUAAUUUAAUUGAACCUAGUUCGGUAAGGCAGAUUCUGACGGAUCUUGCAUACCUUUUCGGAAUCAAACUUGUGAGGCCCAAGUCCGUUGUUCUUAGCACUCGAAUGAAACAAGACUGAACAUGUCUGACAUAUUUGGAGUGAUUUCUUGCGUUGACUAUAAUAACCUUGUGUUUCUUUGGAAAGAAGAAAUCUAUUCCAAGGUGGACUAGAAGACUUAAGAAGCCCAAGUCAAGUAGGAAUUAAAAGAGACAUACGAGGCAGAAAACCUAGGGACGUCUAGAGACACAAGAGGCAGCCUGGAGAGCAUAUUGGGGCUCAAUAAGAGCAAGAGGAGUCACCUUCAUCUUUAUUCCUCCUGCACUAUGUUUUUCUUAGUUAUUUUUAUCGUUUGUUUUUGCUAAAUUCUUAAGCUAGGGCUGAGAUGAAGCCCCUAGUAUGACUAUUCUAUUUGUUUAAUUGGUCUGCUAUUGAAUUUCGGGAUUUCUAUGUUAAACUCUUAAUCACCGUUUCAAUAGAACUUUUAUUCAAAAUC
Rosa rugosa (rugosa rose) is the source of this 5278-nucleotide RNA transcript. RefSeq lists it as uncharacterized. Lineage: Eukaryota; Viridiplantae; Streptophyta; Magnoliopsida; Rosales; Rosaceae. The record is from RefSeq and is a predicted model, not a curated record. The transcript has 4 exons.